CUGGGAUCCCUCUGUAUAUACUUAUAUACAGACAUGUGUACAGUUAUAGUUGUACCUAGGUAGUUAUAGGUAUAUAGAUAUUUACAUAUGUAGACUGAAUAUUUGUAUAGGUAUAUUUAUAUAUUUAUCUAGUUAUAUAUGUACCUAGUUGUAUUUAUGUAUGUAUCUAGUUGUGUUUAUAUAUGUGUGUUAUAUUUCUAUCUGUAUUUAGUUAUAAUUACAUAUGUGUGCAGUUGUAUAGCUAUAUAGUUAUAUUAUUCUAGUUAUAGGUAUAUGGAUUUUUAGAUGCA
Long non-coding RNA from Corapipo altera (White-ruffed manakin), 290 nucleotides. RefSeq lists it as uncharacterized. The transcript has 2 exons. The record is from RefSeq and is a predicted model, not a curated record. Lineage: Eukaryota; Metazoa; Chordata; Aves; Passeriformes; Pipridae.